Molecule: ribosomal RNA, 492 nt
Filed under: uncultured bacterium
Lineage: Bacteria
Description: partial 16S ribosomal RNA
Rfam family: Bacterial small subunit ribosomal RNA
Source: RNAcentral
AGUGAACGCUGGCGGUAGGCCUAACACAUGCAAGUCGAACGGCAGCACAGUAAGAGCUUGCUCUUACGGGUGGCGAGUGGCGGACGGGUGAGGAAUACGUCGAAAUCUACUUUUUCGUGGGGGAUAACGUAGGGAAACUUACGCUAAUACCGCAUACGACCUACGGGUGAAAGCAGGGGAUCUUCGGACCUUGCGCGAUUGAAUGAGCCGAUGUCGGAUUAGCUAGUUGGCGGGGUAAAGGCCCACCAAGGCGACGAUCCGUAGCUGGUCUGAGAGGAUGAUCAGCCACACUGGAACUGAGACACGGUCCAGACUCCUACGGGAGGCAGCAGUGGGGAAUAUUGGACAAUGGGCGCAAGCCUGAUCCAGCCAUACCGCGUGGGUGAAGAAGGCCUUCGGGUUGUAAAGCCCUUUUGUUGGGAAAGAAAAGCAGCAGGUUAAUACCCCGCUGUUCUGACGGUACCCAAAGAAUAAGCACCGGCUAACUUCGUG